Molecule: long non-coding RNA, 2279 nt
Organism: Diceros bicornis minor
Lineage: Eukaryota; Metazoa; Chordata; Mammalia; Perissodactyla; Rhinocerotidae
Exons: 4
Source: RefSeq, a predicted model, not a curated record
UUUCUUUGUCUGCAGGUAAUUUUUUUCUGUCCAGUGGAACUUUUGUUUGCUGGUGUUUUAUCCCAUUCAAGACAAUUAUUUCUCGAUUGCACUCAAUCUUUCUUCUGUGAGUCCUGGCAAAUUUGGUUGACUUUUCUUUCUUGGUUGCAGAGGGCUCCUUAUACUCAGUUGGAGAAAAGAUUCAAGUGCAUUAUGCACACCUCUCUUCUCGUCCACCCAUUUCCCUAGUCCCCACGUUGCGGAUGAAGUAACUGAGGCACGAAGAACUCAGGUGGAAGUCUUAGUUUACAGAGUCAGUGACAGAGUGAGGACUUGAUGACUAUUUUCCUAAUGGCAUCUCAUCCCAGAGUUUGUGCUUCAAAACAUUCUGUGUCAGAAAAUGCAUAAGGACUUUGAUCUUCUUGUUAAACUAGUCAGCCAUCCAUGACAGAUGUCAGUUUUGUGCAGAUAUCUGGUUCUAGAAUUGAUGCUACUUAUGCAAGCUGUCUUUGUAAUUGGACUUAUUUAUAAAUGUAAUGGUUUAGUCAAAGGAAAUGAGGUUACCGAAUGUUUCACCACACCAUAACAUGGAUCAACAUUUUUCUAGUUUCUUAUAGCAGAUUUCUUGUCAUUUUUCCAGCAUUGUCUAACAAUUUCUCAUGAUUUUUCCAGCAUUCUAAAACAGUUUCCUCAGUAUUUUCUAGAUUCCUGUCUUAGUCUGGGCUCCUAUAACAAUGUAUCAUAGACUGAGUACCUCAUAAACAACAGAAAUUUCUCAUGGUUCUGAAGGCUGGAAGUCCAAGAUCAAGAUUUGGUGUCUGAUGCUGGACCUACAUCAAGGUCUGAAGACCUUCCUUGCUUCCUCCUGUUCCAUCUUACUCAAUAAAUCGUUUUUACUUGUGACUCUGAGAUCAGCAUCUACUUGGAGGAACUACCUAACACAAUCACCAACCACCAAGUCUUCCAAAUUUUCUGAUAACGUAAGAAGAGAUUAUGCAUUUUUGAAUAAUGAGGCCUGCUGAGAGUGAGACCGACGCCGAGUCCAGGGAGGAUCUAAAGGCUCAACCAUGUUUAUCAGCAGAGGAAAAUUGCUAGCAAAGAAGGGAAACAUUUAGUGAGCAAGAGAAAGGGAAUUAUUAAUAGGAAGAUGUCCCAGAAGAGGCAGAUAGGAAGGCAUGACAAGGAAGAAGUUCCUCCUGAAAAGGAGAAGAAACACACCUCUCUUCUAAUAGAAGAAUAGAAGAUGACAAUGUAUGAAGAUACAGAGGGUCUGUGAGUUGGGGAGGAGCACAAUACAUGGUAUUUAUUUUGACUGGCCUUAAUAUUUCCUAGGCAUAGUGAUUUCAGAUUUGAUAUAUAUGUGGACUGCAAAAAAAAUUUCAGAAUAAUCCUGGACAAGAUCUAAAAUGUUAACCAGUAUAUCCUAAGUUGAAUCCAUUAGUGAGUAAAGUGUUCCACAAAAUCUGAUUGCCACAAGCUCCCAACUCUUCCAGCAUCAUGGAGCUCAGUCUUUUUCUGUAAUAUCCACACCACUUACUUCUUCCAAAAAUGCCUGGGAGAGGUCAUGCAAGUCUGUGAUGAGGGCAGCUGAGGGGGAGGAGGGUACACUCUCACACGAAUUAGAACAGCAGGCUGAUGGCUCCAUUGCUGCCUCAUCCAUACCACUCACCCCCAGGCUCUCCUCCCUCUUCACUGUGCUUCUGUUUUUACUGCCAGCUGUUUCAGAAGGGUAAACCACAGCAAAGCUUCUGGACAUGGUUCUUUCCAGCCACUGAUUUCUGCUUCUCAUGACACACAGGCACUCUGGGGCAGGAAGGAGGAGAGGGGACUCCAUCAACAGAGAGCCAGAUAGCCAGGCCCAGCUCACACCACACCUAGACCUCCCAGAUGCUUCAUAUUCUAUUCUUGCUACACAGUCCAGGCCACUCUGUCAAACUUGGAGUCUCAAAAUGAUUUUCAUCAGCAGUCUCAUUAUCUUGUUUUUGGUCUGUCCUUCUUCAAGAACCCUUAUUCCAACAUUGGUAUAUAUCUUUACUCACACAGUAGGAUAGAUUCUUCUCAACAGGACUUGAUCCAUGACAAUGAAGGGAUAUAGAAGGACAUCUAUCUCAGCCCAUCUAACUCAGCCUCAGGGUUGAAAACAGAUUCUCCAAAAACUACCCCUUGAUUUGACUGAAGAGUGUGCUGACUGUGCUAAUUCUCAAGAAAGCUUAUUGAACUCAUGGAAUUUGAAGAGCGGGAGUCAACUGAAAUGAUGCUGGGUUUCAUUUUUAUUCCUCCUGAGAAAUUCAUCAAUUUUU